Molecule: ribosomal RNA, 481 nt
Filed under: uncultured bacterium
Lineage: Bacteria
Description: partial 16S ribosomal RNA
Rfam family: Bacterial small subunit ribosomal RNA
Source: RNAcentral
GAUGAACGCUGGCGGCGUGCUUAACACAUGCAAGUCGAACGAAGCAUUUAAGACAGAUUACUUCGGUUUGAAGUCUUUUAUGACUGAGUGGCGGACGGGUGAGUAACGCGUGGGUAACCUGCCUCAUACAGGGGGAUAGCAGCUGGAAACGGCUGGUAAUACCGCAUAAGCGCACAGUACCACAUGGUACAGUGUGAAAAACUCCGGUGGUAUGAGAUGGACCCGCGUCUGAUUAGCUUGUUGGCGGGGUAACGGCCCACCAAGGCGACGAGCAGUAGCCGACCUGGGAGGGUGACCGGCCACAUUGGGUCUGAGACACGGCCCAGACUCCUACGGGAGGCAGCAGUGGGGAAUAUUGCACAAUGGAGGAAACUCUGAUGCAGCGACGCCGCGUGAGUGAAGAAGUAGUUCGCUAUGUAAAGCUCUAUCAGCAGGGAAGAUAGUGACGGUACCUGACUAAGAAGCUCCGGCUAAAUACGUG